GUCCACGCCCUAAACGAUGACGACUAGAUGUCGGAGGGUCUGCCUUUCGGUGUCGUAGCUAACGCGUUAAGUCGUCCGCCUGGGGAGUACGGCCGCAAGGUUGAAACUCAAAGGAAUUGACGGGACCCGCACAAGCGGUGGAGCAUGUGGUUCAAUUCGAUGCAACGCGAAGAACCUUACCUGGUAUUGACAUCCACGGAACUGGACAGAAAUGUCCGGGUGCCUUCGGGAAUCGUGAGACAGGUGCUGCAUGGCUGUCGU
Molecule: ribosomal RNA, 261 nt
Filed under: uncultured bacterium
Lineage: Bacteria
Description: partial 16S ribosomal RNA
Rfam family: Bacterial small subunit ribosomal RNA
Source: RNAcentral